AGUGAACGCUGGCGGUAGGCCUAACACAUGCAAGUCGAACGGCAGCACAGUAAGAGCUUGCUCUUACGGGUGGCGAGUGGCGGACGGGUGAGGAAUACAUCGGAAUCUACUUUUUCGUGGGGGAUAACGUAGGGAAACUUACGCUAAUACCGCAUACGACCUACGGGUGAAAGCAGGGGAUCUUCGGACCUUGCGCGAUUGAAUGAGCCGAUGUCGGAUUAGCUAGUUGGCGGGGUAAAGGCCCACCAAGGCGACGAUCCGUAGCUGGUCUGAGAGGAUGAUCAGCCACACGGGAACUGAGACACGGUCCAGACUCCUACGGGAGGCAGCAGUGGGGAAUAUUGGACAAUGGGGGCAAGCCUGAUCCAGCCAGACCGCGUGGGUGAAGAAGGCCUUCGGGUUGUAAAGCCCUUUUGUUGGGAAAGAAAAGCAGCAGGUUAAUACCCCGCUGUUCUGACGGUACCCAAAGAAUAAGCACCGGCUAACUUCGUG
This 492-nucleotide ribosomal RNA is filed under the name uncultured bacterium. RNAcentral describes it as "partial 16S ribosomal RNA". It matches the Rfam family "Bacterial small subunit ribosomal RNA", at positions 29 to 507 of the family's 1533-position model. The record is from RNAcentral.